AACCAUAGACACUGUUGGUGACGAAUAAUUCUAACCUCAACCCAAUAUUUGCUUAAACGUGUUGUUAAAAUGAAAGUGAAAGUUUUAAGCAGAAAUCCUGACGAUUAUCUCCGUGAAACAAAACGAGACAUUCAUAAAACUCCUAGAAAUUAUGAUCCCAAUUUACAUCCGUUCGAGUCUGCCAGAGAAUAUGUUAGAGCUUUAAACGCUGUUAAACUAGAGCGAGUAUUUGCAAAACCAUUUGUAGGAAGCCUAGAUGGUCAUCGUGAUGGCAUUUCAUGUUUAAGUAAACACCCAAAGCAA
Molecule: long non-coding RNA, 303 nt
Organism: Photinus pyralis (common eastern firefly)
Lineage: Eukaryota; Metazoa; Arthropoda; Insecta; Coleoptera; Lampyridae
Exons: 2
Source: RefSeq, a predicted model, not a curated record